RNAcentral lists this non-coding RNA (1018 nucleotides) under Pan troglodytes (chimpanzee). The record is from RNAcentral. Lineage: Eukaryota; Metazoa; Chordata; Mammalia; Primates; Hominidae.
AGAAAGUGCAAUAUGGCUAGCACUGAAGGCCAGUCAGUUUAACUCUCAGUGUACCCCUUAAGGAGAAGCUCUCAUUUGUUUCCUUAAUUAAUAUUUUAAGGGAAGUGAGAAUCACAAAACACAUUACUCAAUCACUUAAGAAGUUCCUUGGCUUAGAAUUAAAGAUGCUCCAGGAAAGACUUUUUAUACCUGAAAACUUUGAAUCUCUACCUAGAAAAAAGUCUUAAAGCCGGUGAAUAAAGUGGCUUAGGAAGAUGAGUGUAAGGCCAUUAUCAUGGACUUUUUCCCCAGCUGCAGAGGUCAAAGUUUGGAGUGCAACUAGAGAGGUUAGCUGUUCACUUUUCCCAGACCGCCUGGCUUCUCAUAGCUUAAUCUCUGGGCACAGCUGCUGUGAGCACACAGUCCCUGGGACUCAUAUCUUGCCCCGCUCCUGGCCUGAUGACAAGACUGGGAGGAACUGUGGGCAGGGUUAUCUACAACUCCGGGUUGAAGUCAAAGAUUGGAAGAGGAUGGCCUCUGAUCCUGGAACUGCAUUGCUUGGUGGUCAGGAGGGGCUCUUAGUAAGCAAACUCAGUUUAAUCCCAGAGUCGGAAGUGGGUGUCAACAAGCCAAAGCAACAUCCUUUCAGCUCUGCUGCUUUUUUGUCUUGGUGGAGGAAUAGCCAAUGGAAGAAGAUGGAGAGUCCGGACCAAAAAAAAAAAAAAAAAAAAAAAAAAAAAGAUGAGACUAAUCUUAUACUCAAUAUGGAAGAUAAUCAUAACUCAUCACUCUGGAUUAUAACUGCUUACAUAUGUCUUUCUUAUGAGAUAAUGCACCUUGAAGGCUCAGAAGGAACACAAAGACAGAGACAAAUGGUUCUUGGGUCCUGCCCUCAAGGCACUUACAGUCCAGUUUCAGUUUUAGAAGUUCAACCAAGAACAUGGCUAAUGGCUGGUAGAGAUUGUACUGAGUAUUAUACCACUUCUCCUAAAAUAUUAUUUUGGUUGAAAUAAUAAAAUGUAGAUUCAAAACAAAAUAA